UCUCUUGGAAUGGCUGUCGGGGAAGGUAAACCCUGCUAUAAUGCACCUAUUGGUUUAAUUUGUGCAUUAAUAGCUCUGAAAUCGUGCAGCAGUCACCAUCUUCCAGACUUUUUUGGAAUAACAAAUACCGGUGAAUUCCAGAGGCUGACUUCUCUAUAUGUCCUGCAUUCAAUUGUUCUUUUACCACAGAUGACAUUGAUCUAGCUUCUCCUGUGUUAGGGGCCAUUGAUCCACCCACACAGGUUUGUCACUGAGCCAUUCUAAUGGUAAGGCAUUGGGCGGAGGAGAAAUAUCAAUGACCCCCAUCAGAAAUCCUGACGUCCUAGCCCUUUACUGUUUUUCCAGUUAUUGAUAAUGGAUUAGGGUUUCCUUGUAGGAAUUUUCCUAAACCUUUUCUACUGUCAUAUCCCAUGUCCUUCACAUUUUAAAUCCUGGGUUACCAGAGUUUUCAUUUGUAAGUCUCAUAUCCCAUGCUGUAAGUCUCAACCCCAUAAAUUGAUGGCUGUAUUUGCAACAUAAGACUGGAAAGUACAUGACUGACCAUCCGGACCAAGACAAGGUAAAAUCUCAGUACUCUGUUGAACACUUUUAGCUGCUCCUACUCCCACUAGGGAUGUGGAGGUUAGUCUGAGAGUCGAUGCUGGGGGCCAGUCUUUACUGGAUAUUACUGACACAUCAGUUCCUGUGUCCAUUUGCCCAUAAAAUUUCUUUCCUUUAAUUAGUACUACACAGGUAGGUCUAUUAGGUGCUAUGGGUUGGGAAAGAUAGGUUUCCCAUGUAGUUGUGCUCCCAAACCCUUUAUUUCCUCAUUUCUCCUUUUGUGAAGAUGAGUGUAAUUUGCAGGGAAUAAGCAAUAGCUGAACAGUAUAUUCUCCUGGUUCAAAAACCCAAAGAUCUUGUGACAUUAAAACUACUUGAAUUUCUCCUUCAUAAUCGGAGUCAGUCACUCCUGGGACUACAGUGAUGCCUUGCAAGUUAAGGCAGCCUUUGCCUAAAAUUAGUCCCAUGUAUCCUCUUGGUAAAGGUCCCCAAAUGCCAGUGGGAAUUUUGAUAGGUUUGCCUCCACCAACUACUGUUAUUUCUCUGACUGGGAGAUCUAAUCCUGCACUUCCUGGUGUUCCUGGGGUGAGGGAAUCAAUGUUUCUCUUGGGACCCAUCCCUGAAAUGGGCUUGUGGUCUGAACUGAGAAUCCCCUCAUUGUUUGAGGGGCCUGGGUCCAGGCCACCUUCUCGUUUCCCAGCAGGAGGGGUGCCAUUCUGAUGAAGUCUUGAGUGGCACUGAUGAGCCCAGUGAUUUCCUUUGUUACAGCGAGGACAGAGUGCUGGCAUUUUUCUGCUGGGGGUGGGGGCACUGCAUUGUGAGGUCCUUUCUGUCCUGAGAUCUGGUGGCAUUCCUUUUUAAAAUGUCUGGUUUUUCCACAAGUACAACAUUUUCCCACUUUAGGGUUUGACCCUUGGCUCCUUUUAAAUUUGUCAACUACUAAAUUAGCCAUACUUCAGCUAACAUGGAAGAAAAUGCAGUUCCUACAUCCUAACAAGCUCUGAGAAAAUUUCCCAAGUCUUUUGUACACCUUACAGGUGCCAGUGCACAUUUACAAUCCAUGUUUGUGUUCUCAAAAACUAAAGUUAAGGUUAGCAUUUCUGUGGCAGUGGCAUGAGGAAUCUGACGCUUCACUGCCUCUUUUAAUCUUGCAAGAAAUUGUGCAUAGGGCUUCUACAACCCUUGCAUGAUAUGCAAAAAGGAUUGUACUGGGACUCCCUCUUCUGGAAUUGUGGCCCAGGCGCAAUUAGCAGCCUGUGAAUGCUGCUGAUAAGCAGCAGGUGGGAGUGCCAUUUGAUGUUCCAGGUCUGAGUAAGGGUCAUUACCCAGUCAUAUCCUCUGUAGCGUCUCUUUGGCAAGGCAUGAUUCUGUCUAGCCUGGUCUGCACGCAGUUCUUGCCAAUUUAAAUUCCAUGUCAGAUAUGCACUAGCAGACAAGUUUGUGCCAAAAGUUUUACAUCAAAAAGUAGAAGGCACGUAGCACUGAAUACAGAUUUUAGCAAUCCUAAAGUGAACGGGCUCUGCACUCCAUUGUUAACUACACUCAUUUUUAAUUCCUUCAACAACUAAACUCUAGUGGGGUAUUUUCAUGAAUAGACUGGUGUGGAUUGUUUGGAUCAGGCCUUAUGGAAAUAGGACAAGCAGAAGGUCCUAAGGGCUCUCCAGCUAUGGCAGCAGAGGGUAACAUUCUUCAUACUGGGGUCUCUAUUUCUGCUACUGAAAGAGGUGGUACAGAUGUUGCUGCAACUGGAGGGAGCAGUAAAAAACAAUUUUUAUCCUCCCUCUCCUGUUUUUUGUUUUCAAUGGGAUUUGUGGGUGGGACAAUGGAUUCCCCACUGCUCCAAUGCAUCACCUCAGUUCCUUGUGUUUUCUGCACUGCCAGCAUGAUAUACACAAUACGCUGAUACUCCUAGCAAUGUCUGAGUCAGAGAGGAGCUCUAAAUUGGGAAGUAAUGCAGGAAACAAGCCUUGUAAAAAUCAACUUGGAUUCACUUUUCAGUUACAUCUGAGUGAUCUACAGCUAUUUCAAGCUGAAAGGAAAAUUUCUGGGUGUAAGCAUUUUGAAAAACCCAUCAGUGACAAUUCCUCUGUUUCACCGCUUGAAAAAAUUUCUUCCAGUGUCAAAUCCCAUCUUUUAAAUAAAUAUAGAAAUAAUUUU
RNAcentral lists this small RNA (2697 nucleotides) under Pongo abelii (Sumatran orangutan). RNAcentral describes it as "retained intron". Lineage: Eukaryota; Metazoa; Chordata; Mammalia; Primates; Hominidae. The record is from RNAcentral.